Acanthosepion pharaonis is the source of this 112-nucleotide non-coding RNA. Lineage: Eukaryota; Metazoa; Mollusca; Cephalopoda; Sepiida; Sepiidae. The record is from the annotation of a GenBank genome assembly.
UACGGCUAUGUCAAGUUGGAAUACCGGUUCUCGUACGAUCGCUGAAGUUAAACAACGUCGAGCCUGGUCAGUACCUAGAUGGGUAACCACUUGGGAAUACCAGGUGCUGAAA